UGUUCCUACGGGGGGCAGCAGUGAGGAAUAUUGGUCAAUGGCCGAGAGGCUGAACCAGCCAAGUCGCGUGAGGGAUGACGGCCCUACGGGUUGUAAACCUCUUUUGUCGGGGAGCAAGACCCGCCACGAGUGGCGGAGCGAGAGUACCCGAAGAAAAAGCAUCGGCUAACUCCGUGCCAGCAGCCGCGGUAAUACGGAGGAUGCGAGCGUUAUCCGGGUUUAUUGGGUUUAAAGGGUGCGUAGGCGGACAGUCAAGUCAGCGGUAAAAAUGCGGUGCUCAACGCCGUACAGCCGUUGAAACUGGG
Molecule: ribosomal RNA, 305 nt
Filed under: uncultured bacterium
Lineage: Bacteria
Description: bacterial SSU rRNA
Rfam family: Bacterial small subunit ribosomal RNA
Source: RNAcentral